UACAGAGGUCUCAAGCGUUGUUCGGAUUCAUUGGGCGUAAAGGGUGCGUAGGUGGCCAGGUAAGUCGGAAUGUGAAAUCCCGGGGCUCAACCCCGGAACUGCAUUCGAUACUGCCCGGCUCGAGUACUGGAGAGGAGAUUGGAAUUUACGGUGUAGCAGUGAAAUGCGUAGAUAUCGUAAGGAAGACCAGUGACGAAGGCGGAUCUCUGGACAGUUACUGAC
This 222-nucleotide ribosomal RNA is filed under the name uncultured bacterium. Its description in RNAcentral is "partial 16S ribosomal RNA". It matches the Rfam family "Bacterial small subunit ribosomal RNA", at positions 524 to 744 of the family's 1533-position model. The record is from RNAcentral.